CGCCAAAGCUCGGCACCGAACGGAACGGUAAACUUGUAAACGGUAAGGCAAGGCAAGGUAGCGCCGGUGACGCAACGGACGUGCGUGCAGUCAGCGUCUUUGAGCGAAUGUAUCGGUGCACAGCUAUCGUAUCGAUUGCACGAGCUGGGUAUCGAAAGGUUUCUGUAACACAUCGAUAUCAUUCGUUUAAUAAGCUUUUGCGUUUUCACACUUUUUAUGUUACGUGGAGAUCUCGGGAACUACAAAAACUAGAAUAUUGAUAUAAAGAGUGUACAUUCUUGCUUUAGUUGACCGUCGUAUGUGGAGUGUGACUAUUCAACGCAAGUGUGUGCUUCGGUCAUCAGAACAGCCAGACAGUUGACUGGCAUACGCUACACUUGACAAUUUUCCUUCUUUUCUAUGGAUUCUCCUGGUGAUCGGAAGCAAGCGUUGGUUCUGCA
Molecule: long non-coding RNA, 440 nt
Organism: Drosophila sechellia
Lineage: Eukaryota; Metazoa; Arthropoda; Insecta; Diptera; Drosophilidae
Exons: 3
Source: RefSeq, a predicted model, not a curated record